GAUGAAGAACGUAGUGAAAUGCGAUAAGUAAUGGGAAUUGCAGAAUUCAGUGAAUCAUCGAAUCUUUGAACGCACAUUGCGCCCGCCAGUAUUCUGGCGGGCAUGCCUGUUCGAGCGUCAUUACAACCCUCAGGCCCCCGGGCCUGGCGUUGGGGAUCGGCGAGGCGCCCCCCGCGGGCACGCGCCGUCCCCCAAAUACAGUGGCGGUCCCGCCGCAGCUUCCAUUGCGUAGUAGCUAACACCUCGCAACUGGAGAGCGGCGCGGCCAUGCCGUAAAACACCCAACUUCUGAAUGUUGACCUCGAAUCAGGUAGGAAUACCCGCUGAACUUAAGCAUAUCAAUAAGCGGAGGA
Molecule: unclassified non-coding RNA, 353 nt
Filed under: soil metagenome
Description: partial contains 5.8S ribosomal RNA, internal transcribed spacer 2, and large subunit ribosomal RNA
Rfam family: 5.8S ribosomal RNA (bases 1-120)
Source: RNAcentral